Molecule: non-coding RNA, 92 nt
Organism: Caenorhabditis elegans
Lineage: Eukaryota; Metazoa; Nematoda; Chromadorea; Rhabditida; Rhabditidae
Source: Ensembl
GGUAUAAAAUUAGAUAUCAAAUAUCAUAAACAACUCUUUUUCAGAAGGGUGUUUUCGAACAGAAGAAAAUUUCUAUUUAAUUCGGUGUAGUA